RNAcentral lists this ribosomal RNA (480 nucleotides) under Triticum aestivum (bread wheat). RNAcentral's name for it is "partial small subunit ribosomal RNA". The record is from RNAcentral. Lineage: Eukaryota; Viridiplantae; Streptophyta; Magnoliopsida; Poales; Poaceae.
AUGGACCCGGACCUGGCGCUCCACCUCGAGAUCGCCGCGGUGGUCGUGAUGGCGGUGAUCAUCGUCGCCGUGGCCGUCAUGGCAUCCGGCGGAGCCUGCGACGACGCGGCCGGCGCCACGGGGAGCGCCGCGGUGCACGACGCCGACGUCGAGGCCGCCCUCGGCGACGACACGCUUAUGACGUACGAGCUGGCGACCGCCAGGAAGAAGGAGAAGGCGAAGGACAAGGCGAAGGAGAAGGAGGAGGAGGAGGAGGAGGAGCGGUGCGCCCUCUGCCUGUCUGAUUACGGUGAGGGCGACGCCGGCGAGCUAGUGCGAGUGGUGCCGGCCUGCGGGCACUUCUACCACGCGAGCUGCGGCGUCGACAAGUGGCUCCGGAAGCACCGGACGUGCCCGCUCUGCCGCGGAGGGCUCCGGCCGCAGCCGCCGCUGCCGGGGUUGCCACGGCCGGAGUGCCCGCCGAUGCCGCCGUCCCAUUAG